This 83-nucleotide transfer RNA is filed under the name Suicoccus acidiformans. It matches the Rfam family "tRNA". Rfam says of the family: Transfer RNA (tRNA) molecules are approximately 80 nucleotides in length. Their secondary structure includes four short double-helical elements and three loops (D, anti-codon, and T loops). The record is from Rfam by way of RNAcentral. Lineage: Bacteria; Bacillati; Bacillota; Bacilli; Lactobacillales; Aerococcaceae.
GCGAUCGUGGCGGAACGGCAGACGCGCCAGCUUGAGGGGCUGGUGUCCAUUAGGGCGUGGUGGUUCAAAUCCACUCGGUCGCA